This 448-nucleotide ribosomal RNA is filed under the name uncultured bacterium. RNAcentral describes it as "bacterial SSU rRNA". It matches the Rfam family "Bacterial small subunit ribosomal RNA", at positions 355 to 825 of the family's 1533-position model. The record is from RNAcentral.
UGGGGAAUCUUGGACAAUGGGCGCAAGCCUGAUCCAGCCAUGCCGCGUGAGUGAAGAAGGCCUUCGGGUUGUAAAGCUCUUUUUACCAGGGACGAUAAUGACGGUACCUGGAGAAUAAGCCCCGGCAAACUUCGUGCCAGCAGCCGCGGUAAUACGAAGGGGGCUAGCGUUGUUCGGAAUUACUGGGCGUAAAGCGCACGUAGGCGGAUUGUUAAGUCAGAGGUGAAAUCCCGGAGCUCAACUUCGGAACUGCCUUUGAUACUGGCAAUCUAGAGUCCGGAAGAGGUUAGUGGAAUUCCCAGUGUAGAGGUGAAAUUCGUAGAUAUUGGGAAGAACACCAGUGGCGAAGGCGGCUAACUGGUCCGGUACUGACGCUGAGGUGCGAAAGCGUGGGGAGCAAACAGGAUUAGAUACCCGGGUAGUCCCUGAGCGGGCUGGCAAGGCGCAU